UACAGAGGUCCCGAGCGUUGUUCGGAUUCACUGGGCGUAAAGGGUGCGUAGGUGGUGUGGUAAGUCGGAUGUGAAAUCUCCGGGCUCAACCCGGAAAUGGCAUUGGAAACUACCUUGCUGGAGGAUUUGAGGGGGGAUUGGAAUACUUGGUGUAGCAGUGAAAUGCGUAGAUAUCAAGUGGAACACCAGUGGCGAAGGCGAAUCCCUGGAAAAUACCUGACACUGAGGCACGAAAGCUAGGGGAGCAAACAGG
This 253-nucleotide ribosomal RNA is filed under the name uncultured bacterium. RNAcentral's name for it is "partial 16S ribosomal RNA". It matches the Rfam family "Bacterial small subunit ribosomal RNA", at positions 524 to 776 of the family's 1533-position model. The record is from RNAcentral.